RNAcentral lists this long non-coding RNA (2304 nucleotides) under Homo sapiens (human). RNAcentral describes it as "HSALNT0121447". The record is from RNAcentral. Lineage: Eukaryota; Metazoa; Chordata; Mammalia; Primates; Hominidae.
CUGAGAUUGUGCCACUGCACUCCAGCUUGGGCAACAGAGUGAGACCCUGUCUCGAAAACAACAACAACAACAACAACAACAAAACUUGUAAAUCACUAACCUCAAGGCAAAAUCAACCUUAUAUUAACAAACUGGUUUCAAAAUCUCUGGAUUUUGCCUAAGGAAGAGCAGAGUAAUAGUAAUCACUUUGUUUCUCCUAGAAUUCAUUACCUAUCAAAGAAAAUGCGUAAACUCUAGAAGUAUUGCUUGCUCCUUUGCCACAAAGUGUACAUUCAAGAGUAAAUUGUUUAAAGCCAAAGGGCCUUGCGCCACGUCCUUAGCCUCAGCUUUCUACUUGCUAAAAUGGAAAUAACAACAGUACCUACCUUACAGACCUGGCGUGAGGAUUAAAUUAUACCAGCAAAGUGCCUGGCACCUAGAAUUUGCCUGAGUUCUGAUCAAUGCUAAAAACACCAUUUAACAGUGCCCUUUCCUGCCUGGGAAGCCCACAAAGAUUUCGCUUUUCACUUAUUACUCAUCAAACUGACUCUGGUUCACAGUGGAAAAGAGAAGAAAAGCUGAUGGAGAAAUGGCAGUGAAGAAGGAGAACAAAAUUCAGUCUAUAGACGUGAAGCCAACAGGGACCCUCAGGCCUGUGCAUCAGGAUGGUGGGCUGCCUAAGUCCUCUGGGGACAGCAGUGCCAGAAGGAGUAUUGGACACAGUGACCCGACUGUAUGAGAUGAGAAAAAACAAAAACAGGAGGUCCGCAGUACUGAUGAACUAAUCUGUCACUCACAAGCUCAGGUCUGCAAAAAAAAGAAACGAAGCACUAAACAUGGCCAUAAGAGAUGGAAAUGCAAGUCUUCAUUUCUAAAUGAUAAUCAAACCAACGAUCAGAAACUGAUUAACUGUGUAAUUGAAUUGAAUUGAAAAUCAUCCCAUGAAUAACAAUCCAUCCUACCUUCAAGGGGUUAGGAAGCUAACUACAGGUAAUUGCUAUCAGAAAUCUGAUUUGAUUUCCAAAAAUUGUGUGAAUGAACCAAGUUUCUUCAUCUUGAUAUACUAGGCAGGGAGUUUGUUCUUCCAAGUACUAGACUGCUUAAUUGCUUGCUUGGGGGAGGAGAAAUCCUAGGGGAAAGGCAUAUAUGAGCAAUUUCUACUCUGUGAAGCCAGCGCUGUGUCCUGAGCUGGAUCAUGGCCAGAAACAGAAAAGUCUACUCUUCCCUACAGUGGAAGCAACUGUGGAUAUUUCAUCCUAGGAGUGAAUGAAAAAACCUAAAGCUCAUACUUCAUGGGAAUCUUUCAAUAUUCUGACUGAAAACUGGUUAUUUGCUCCUCCAACCCAAAGCCAUCUAGGAACAGCACUCAGAACAGGAAAAAAAAAAGACAAAAAUAAUAAUUAUUCCAAAACGUAUUUGAGCAGAAACAAACACAAACAUUUGCAUUAUUAAAUGGGCUUGUUCACACCUGCUGAGUAGAUAUAAGACGAUAUUUAAGACAAGAGCUAAAAAAUAAACCAUCCCUUUCUGGUUUUGAGUGACAGCAGAGCAAUAAAAAUUAUUUUCACAUUCUUUUCCCUAUUGUUAGAAGUAAUCAUUUGAGUAAAUACACUUAUCUGUGCUGUAACUAUUGAAAUGAAUCCACUUCAAAUAUGUAUACCACCUUUCUUUUUUAUAUUUCUAGAUAUGGUUUCAAUAUAGACUUUCUGACUUUUAUGGUAUACAUAUAGGACAAUAUUCUAUUCUUCUUUCCUUUUAAAUACUUACUGUUUCAAUUUCAAAUAAAAAAUCAGCAUUCUAGUUUGUACAUUUUAGCACAGAAAUGUUUACAACCUUCAGCACAAUUGCUUUUGUAAUUUACUGACUUGGCAUUUUGAGGCGUUUUUAACAAAUUAUGAGAAAUAACACCUUCAGAAAGCAUGUGACUACUUUGAUGCAACUAUUUACAAUGUAUUCAUAAGAAGUCAUUAACCUGUAGAGUUCUUAGACAUGUGGAACCUUUAACAAUUAUACUAAAGAGUACAUACAAAAUACAGAGCUAUGUAAUAAUAACUAAUUUUAAAUCCUGACAAAUUAGAAGUUAAGCCUACUAUCUGUAAAAAUAUGUCCUGAUUCAUUUUUUUAAGUAUAUACCUGAGCCUUUAAAAAGUAUAUGCCUUUACAAUUGAUUUCCAAUAAACAAUACUGAAUAACAAACUACAAGUGACUUUCCUGAUUUUUUCACCAGAAAUAUAUAGAAAAAGGAAAUCCUAUUCUUAUUAGAGAUUGAAGUACAGUAAUUCUGCACGGUAUUAAGAACCAUAACUAUGCCAUACAGAAGACAGG